Molecule: ribosomal RNA, 237 nt
Filed under: uncultured microorganism
Description: partial 16S ribosomal RNA
Rfam family: Bacterial small subunit ribosomal RNA
Source: RNAcentral
GAGUUUGAUCUUGGCUCAGAUUGAACGCUGGCGGCAGGCCUAACACAUGCAAGUCGAACGGUAACGGGAAGCAGCUUGCUGCUUCGCUGACGAGUGGCGGACGGGUGAGUAAUGUCUGGGAAGCUGCCUGAUGGAGGGGGAUAACUACUGGAAACGGUAGCUAAUACCGCAUAAUGUCGCAAGACCAAAGAGGGGGACCUUCGGGCCGUCUUGCCAUCGGAUGUGCCCACGAUGGGA